AUUGAACGCUGGCGGCAGGCCUAACACAUGCAAGUCGAACGAGUGGCGGACGGGUGAGUAAUGUCUGGGACACUGCCUGAUGGAGGGGGAUAACUACUGGAAACGGUAGCUAAUCCCGCAUACCAUCGGAUGUGCCCAGAUGGGAUUAGCUAGUAGGUGGGGUAAAGGCUCACCUAGUCGACGAUCCCUAGCUGGUCUGAGAGGAUGACCGUCCACACUGUAACUGAGACACGGUCCAGACUCCUACGUGAGGCAGCAGUGGGGAAUAUUCCACAAUGGGCGCAAGCCUGAUGCAGCCAUGCCGCGUGUAUGAAGAAGGCCUUCGGGUUGUAAAGUACUUUCAGCGGGGAGGCGUUACCCGCAGAAGAAGCACCGGCUAACUCCGUGCCAGCAGCCGCGGUAAUAC
Molecule: ribosomal RNA, 406 nt
Filed under: uncultured bacterium
Lineage: Bacteria
Description: partial 16S ribosomal RNA
Rfam family: Bacterial small subunit ribosomal RNA
Source: RNAcentral